GAUGAACGCUGGCGGCGUGCCUAAUACAUGCAAGUCGAGCGAACAGAUGAUGAGCUUGCUCCUCUGACGUUAGCGGCGGACGGGUGAGUAACACGUGGAUAACCUACCUAUAAGACUGGGAUAACUUCGUGAAACCGGAACUAAUACCGUAUAAUAUAUUGAACCGCAUGGUUCAAUAGUGAAAGACGGUUUUGCUGUCACUGAUAGAUGGAUCCGCGCCGCAUUAGCUAGUUGGUAAGGUAACGGCUUACCAAGGCAACGAUGCGUAGCCGACCUGAGAGGGUGAUCGCCCACACUGGAACUGAGACACGGUACAGAGUCCUACGGGAGGCAGAAGUAGGGAAUCUUCCGAGAUGGGCGAAAGCCUGACGGAGCAACGCAGCGUGAGUGAUGAAGGUCUUCGGAUCGUAAAACUCUGUUAUUAGGGAAGAACAAAUGUGUAAGUAACUAUGCACGUCUUGACGGUACCUAAUCAGAAAGCAACGGCUAACUACGUG
This 497-nucleotide ribosomal RNA is filed under the name uncultured bacterium. RNAcentral describes it as "partial 16S ribosomal RNA". It matches the Rfam family "Bacterial small subunit ribosomal RNA", at positions 28 to 507 of the family's 1533-position model. The record is from RNAcentral.